This 23-nucleotide non-coding RNA is filed under the name Arabidopsis thaliana (thale cress). Lineage: Eukaryota; Viridiplantae; Streptophyta; Magnoliopsida; Brassicales; Brassicaceae. The record is from RNAcentral.
UGCAGUUUUGGGUGCGGUGUAUA